AAUUAAUGUUUAAUUUUUUUACCAUUUUAAAUCUUAAGUUUUUUCUUCCAAAUACCUUAAAUAAAUAUUUAUAAAGGAAACUCAAUAUGUAAAAACUUUAACUUUAAUGAAGUAUGUGUGAUCAUUUUAAUUGUCUAGUUUACAACAAAAAUAAUCUUCAUUGUUCUUCCCCGUCCCAAUGGUUAGGUAGUUGAAUUGAUUACCCUCUAAAUUUUGUGGAGUUGAAUAUGACGGGAUGUUCAAGUAUUGAAAUUCAAUUUGAAGUAUAUGUUAUGGCUAGCAUGUGUCUCGUUUGUAUUCUCAGUAUUGAAAUUCAAUUUUGAAGUACAAUGUUAUGUCUAGCAUGUGUCUCGUUUGUAGGGUCUUGAAUUCAAGUAUUGAAUUUCAAUUUGAAGUAUAUUUUUAUGGCUAGCAUGUGUCUUGUUUGUGGGGUAAAGAACACAAAAUAGAUUCUUAAUUUCUAGCCGAGGAGUGCUCUCUUUUGUGCAGGGUCUUGAAUUCAAGUAUUGAAUUUCAAUUUUGAAGUAUAUUUUUAUGGCUAGCAUGUGUCUUGUUUGUGGGGUAAAGAACACAAAAUAGAUUCUUAAUUUCUAGCCGAGGAGUGCUCUCUUUUGUGCAUGUGGCGUCUGUAUUCUUUUGAUGAAUAGGCAGCAAUCAUUACUUUAAAAUAUUUUAAAAUUUGUUAUGAUGAAGAGGCAUAGUAUUUGGAAUUUGUCUUACAAUUUGUUUUAAAAUAUCUUACGUAGCAUAUCUAUUCU
Molecule: long non-coding RNA, 758 nt
Filed under: Citrus x clementina
Lineage: Eukaryota; Viridiplantae; Streptophyta; Magnoliopsida; Sapindales; Rutaceae
Description: Citrus clementina (C. clementina) long non-coding RNA (CCLE_LNC002659)
Source: RNAcentral